Long non-coding RNA from Perognathus longimembris pacificus (Pacific pocket mouse), 236 nucleotides. RefSeq lists it as uncharacterized. The record is from RefSeq and is a predicted model, not a curated record. The transcript has 2 exons. NCBI's taxonomy places the organism in Eukaryota, Metazoa, Chordata, Mammalia, Rodentia, Heteromyidae.
UCAUGUUCAAACAUCAGACCACCAAAGUCAGUGUGGAGCCUUAACUAAAAGUGAUCAUAAGCAAGUCUCCAUGAAAAAAAAUUAUAUGCUACAGGGGAGGUAUCUAGUCAUACUUGAAUUAAAACAGAAAUCAAUGAACAAAUAACAAAUGGUUGUACACUAGUCAAGAAAACAAAACGUCAAUUGCCCUAGGAUCAAAACAUCAUAUGACAGUUGUCAAAUACUCUUAUCUGGAU